This 381-nucleotide ribosomal RNA is filed under the name uncultured bacterium. RNAcentral describes it as "bacterial SSU rRNA". It matches the Rfam family "Bacterial small subunit ribosomal RNA", at positions 30 to 412 of the family's 1533-position model. The record is from RNAcentral.
AUUGAACGCUGGCGGCAUGCCUUACACAUGCAAGUCGAACGGCAGCACGGGAGCAAUCCUGGUGGCGAGUGGCGAACGGGUGAGUAAUAUAUCGGAACGUGCCCAGUCUGGGGGAUAACGUAGCGAAAGCUACGCUAAUACCGCAUACGAUCUAUGGAUGAAAGCGGGGGAUCGCAAGACCUCGCGCGAUUGGAGCGGCCGAUAUCAGAUUAGGUAGUUGGUGAGGUAAAGGCUCGCCAAGCCGACGAUCUGUAGCUGGUCUGAGAGGACGACCAGCCACACUGGACUGAGACACGGCCCAGACUCCUACGGGAGGCAGCAGUGGGGAAUUUUUGGACAAUGGGCGCAAGCCUGAUCCAGCAAUGCCGCGUGCAGGAUGAA